This 306-nucleotide ribosomal RNA is filed under the name uncultured bacterium. RNAcentral's name for it is "bacterial SSU rRNA". It matches the Rfam family "Bacterial small subunit ribosomal RNA", at positions 30 to 334 of the family's 1533-position model. The record is from RNAcentral.
AUUGAACGCUAGCGGCAUGCUUAACACAUGCAAGUCGAACGGUAACAGCGGAGCUUGCUCCGGCUGACGAGUGGCGGACGGGUGAGUAAUGCUUAGGAAUCUGCCCAGUAGCGGGGGACAACUCGGAGAAAUCCGAGCUAAUACCGCAUACGCCCUACGGGGGAAAGCAGGGGAUCUUCGGACCUUGCACUAUUGGAUGAGCCUAAGUCAGAUUAGCUUGUUGGUGGGGUAAUGGCCUACCAAGGCGACGAUCUGUAGCUGGUCUGAGAGGACGAUCAGCCACACUGGAACUGAGACACGGUCCAG